This 73-nucleotide transfer RNA is filed under the name Marmota monax (woodchuck). RNAcentral describes it as "tRNA.Ala". Lineage: Eukaryota; Metazoa; Chordata; Mammalia; Rodentia; Sciuridae. The record is from RNAcentral.
UUUGGUUGUAGCUCAGUGAUAGAGCGCUUGCCUAGCACGUGUGAAGCACUGGGUUCGAUCCUCAGAACUACAG